This 460-nucleotide ribosomal RNA is filed under the name uncultured bacterium. RNAcentral describes it as "partial 16S ribosomal RNA". It matches the Rfam family "Bacterial small subunit ribosomal RNA", at positions 338 to 795 of the family's 1533-position model. The record is from RNAcentral.
CCUACGGGUGGCAGCAGUGAGGAAUAUUGGUCAAUGGACGAGAGUCUGAACCAGCCAAGUAGCGUGAAGGAUGACUGCCCUAUGGGUUGUAAACUUCUUUUAUAAAGGAAUAAAACGAGGCACGUGUGCCUUUUUGCAUGUACUUUAUGAAUAAGGAUCGGCUACCUCCGUGCCAGCAGCCGCGGUAAUACGGAGGAUCCGAGCGUUAUCCGGAUUUAUUGGGUUUAAAGGGAGCGUAGAUGGGUUGUUAAGUCAGUUGCGAAAGUUUGCGGCUCAACCGUAAAAUUGCAAUUGAUACUGGCAGUCUUGAGUACAGUUGAGGUAGGCGGAAUUCGCGGUGUAGCGGUGAAAUGCUUAGAUAUCACGAAGAACCCCGAUUGCGAAGGCAGCUUACUAAACUGCCACUGACAUUGAUGCUCGAAAGUGUGGGUAUCAAACAGGAUUAGAUACCCGAGUAGUC